This 2667-nucleotide long non-coding RNA is filed under the name Sus scrofa (pig). RNAcentral describes it as "lncRNA (ENSSSCG00015056025.1)". Lineage: Eukaryota; Metazoa; Chordata; Mammalia; Artiodactyla; Suidae. The record is from RNAcentral.
GGGGCGGGGGGGGCGGGGGUGCGGCGCUGGGGAGGGGGCUGCUGGAUCGAACCCAGAACCUCAUGGUUCCUGGUCAGGUUGGUUUCUUCUGUGCCACAAUGGGAAUUCCUUCUUGGAUAUCUCUUGCCAUUGUCUACCACCACUGGUUAUUAGAAGAAUGUGAGUAGGUAGAGACAACAACCCCACACAUUGAUGUUCAGACUCAAACUGUGAGGGCCAUGAAAGGACUCAGUAGUGUGCCUUGGGGUGGCCUGGCCCUGCCAGAGGUAGUGUUCCCUAGGUGGGGACUGGCCUUGUGUCUGCUGUCAUCCAGGAGCAUUGGCUGGUCAUCAGAGUGAGGAAACUGUUUCCUCUAAGAGGAAUGGAGCCUAAAUGCCAAAGGCCACGAGGGGUCUCUGUUAAGAGAAACUCCUUCCAGGAAAGGGUUUGUGGACGAUCCUGCCUGCCCUCCUGAGCUUCUCCCUCCCUGAUACAGUGUUUUCUUUCAACACUGUUUCUUUUCCUCCUGUUUCUUGCCCACAUGCCCCGUGGUUAUAGCAGCUAACCCUGGGUGGGAGCCCACCUCAGGCCAGGCUUUCCUGUCCAUCCCUCAUCCUCAUGACAGUCCUGAGAGAUGAGAACCAUUACCACUCCCAUGAUACAGAUGAGGAAACCGAGGCCUGGAGAGGUUAGACCUCAGGCACCCAAGAUCCAACCAUGGCCCCUGCCUCUCCAGCAUGAGGAAAGGGCCACAGAUGAGCUGACAGCAAAGAAAGGGGGCAUCACUCUGACCUCCGGGGUCACAAGCCCUUGUUCCGUCCUCACACUGUGGUGACAGCACCCAUUGCUGGGCUGUGGGAGGAGGAAGGAUAAGCAAGAGUUAGGGUCAGCAGGGCGGAGUCACCACUGGGAGGGCUUAGUGUCCGAAAUCUUCCAUUCCAGGCCUGCCAGAUUGCUUAUCCUCACGUGGGGGUGGGGCAUAUGAUGUAGCAACAGGGACUGCCAGGCAGCUGUGAGCAGAGCUGGAAGGUGAGGGGUCCUUGAAAAUCAUUGAGGCUGAGGCUGACCUCUCAGGAUAUGAAGAGUCUGAAGCGCUGAGAGGGAAUGACUCAUCCUUGGGAGGGGGAUGGGUCUUUAUUCCAUCCCCCAGGGCAAGAGCCCCUACCCCCGACUGCCCCUCUGGGGAGCCUGGGGUUUACUGGUGGCUCUAUCAGCAAGACCCAGGGCCUCUACAGCCCUAGAGAUAACCCUGAGGUGGACAGCUCCCUCGGCCCCUGGCUCCCCUGCCCCAGAAGCAGCUCCAUCAGGGGUGCAUUUGCCAACUGCAUUGAUUUCCAUUUCCCAGGGUGAUGAGGUAAUUUAAAGGUUAUUCAGCUGAAUUUCUAGUUCCCUUGGCCUGAGGCCUUUCUCUAGAAACACCUGCUGCUAAUAGCCCGGGCACCAGGCAUUGAUAUAAAAAGAUGUGCUUGUUGCCCAUAAACUUGAAUUAUUUACGAAGCGUGUCCUUCUCUUAUAGCUGCUUUGCAUACAUGCCCCCUCUCAAUGGUUACUUACUGGCUGUACCCGUGAGCUUGCUUUUUUAAUUGAAUGGCAUUUCAUGAGGCUAAACCGAUCGCAGCUCCUGUGAGCAUGUUGCUCUCCCUGGGCUGCCAUUUCAGUCUCUGGCCCCCAACCUCUUAGUCUCGAACCCCGAACCUCAGCCCCAUGAGCCUCGACUCCUUUCUCUCCUUGCUGCCUCAGGCCAUACAUUGUCCAUUUUUCUACUUGACUUUCUCUGGAUUCUGUCCCUUCCUUCUGGCCAUGCUCCUAUUGCUCUAAUUCAGUUCCUCAUUAUCCGCUGACUUUUUGCCAUAUCCUUUGACCUGGCUGCCUCCCUGCUCCAGGCAGGCCCCUUUUAGAAUUGCUCCCGUGGGCUUUGGGCAGAUUAAUCUUUCAGGAGCACUGGUUCUGCUCUUGUCACUGCUCUCCUGACAUACCUUCCCUGGCCGCUUACUGCCUCCAGUAUGAGGACAGAUGCCUCAGCCGAGGCCUCAGGCUGGCCCAGCUCCCUCCCUGCAUUGCAAAGCACAGGGCUAAGGCGCCUCCCUCCUCUCCCGCUUCCCUCCUCUCCUGGGCAGUGCUCCUCUCAGCGCCCUAUGCCCCUUCCCUCCCCCACCUCCUCCAGGGCCAGCUUCAGAGCCGUCUCCUCCAAGCCGCCUUCCUGCUCUGCCUUUUCCUCCCCGGCUUGGACCCAGAGCAUACUAGUUUAGGAGUCAGAACAGUCUUGCUGUGGGUCAGGGUUGGUGCUGGGCACUCAGAAUGCCAAAGUGAGUGUUAUGAGUUACAUUGUGUCCUCCUAAAAGAUACGUUGAGUUUCUAACCCCCAGGACCUGUGAAUGUGACUUUCUUUGGAAACAGGGUCUUUGCAGAUGUAAUUAAGAUGAGGUCAGUGGAGUUCCUACCGUGGCUCAGUGGAAAUGAAUCUGACUAGGAUCCAUGAGGAUGCAGGUUUGAUCCUUGGCCUCGCUCAGUGGGUUAAGGAUCUGGCUUUGCCGUGAGCUGUGAUGUAGGUUGCAGACACGGCUCGGAUCUGGUGUUGCUGUGGCUGUGGUAUAGGCCAGCAGCUAUAGCUCCAUUUAGACCCCUAGCCUGGGAACCUCUAUAUGCUGCCAGUGUGGCCCUAAAAAGACAAAAAAAAAAAAAAAAAAA